GAGUUUGAUCCUGGCUCAGGACGAACGCUGGCGGCGUGCUUAACACAUGCAAGUCGAGCGGUAAGGCCCUUCGGGGUACACGAGCGGCGAACGGGUGAGUAACACGUGGGUGAUCUGCCUUGCACUCUGGGAUAAGCCUGGGAAACUGGGUCUAAUACCGGAUAUGACCUUCGACUGCAUGGUCGAGGGUGGAAAGAUUUAUCGGUGCAAGAUGAGCCCGCGGCCUAUCAGCUUGUUGGUGGGGUAAUGGCCUACCAAGGCGACGACGGGUAGCCGGCCUGAGAGGGCGACCGGCCACACUGGGACUGAGACACGGCCCAGACUCCUACGGGAGGCAGCAGUGGGGAAUAUUGCACAAUGGGCGGAAGCCUGAUGCAGCGACGCCGCGUGAGGGAUGACGGCCUUCGGGUUGUAAACCUCUUUCGACUCCGACGAAGCGAGAGUGACGGUAGGAGUAUAAGAAGCACCGGCCAACUACGUGCCAGCAGCCGCGGUA
This 496-nucleotide ribosomal RNA is filed under the name Nocardia sp. BAMY 10. RNAcentral describes it as "bacterial SSU rRNA". It matches the Rfam family "Bacterial small subunit ribosomal RNA", at positions 9 to 522 of the family's 1533-position model. The record is from RNAcentral. Lineage: Bacteria; Bacillati; Actinomycetota; Actinomycetes; Mycobacteriales; Nocardiaceae.